GUGAGGUACCACCGUUAUCGGUCCGCAAAGUACAGUUGCCAAUAACAACCGUGCUCCGAUGGCUCUGGCUGCGUAAGCAGUUCGAUCUAUCGAAAUCUAAGCCCUUGCGCCUAGCAGCGUAAGGCGGGGUUCGCAGGCACCUGGCAACAGAAGCCUGCACU
This 161-nucleotide transfer-messenger RNA is filed under the name Paracoccaceae bacterium. Its description in RNAcentral is "Rhodobacteraceae bacterium (activated sludge metagenome) partial transfer-messenger RNA". It matches the Rfam family "Alphaproteobacteria transfer-messenger RNA", at positions 196 to 355 of the family's 355-position model. Rfam says of the family: Bacterial tmRNA, also known as 10Sa RNA or SsrA, is named for its dual tRNA and mRNA-like properties. Its role is to liberate the mRNA from a stalled ribosome. The record is from RNAcentral. Lineage: Bacteria; Pseudomonadati; Pseudomonadota; Alphaproteobacteria; Rhodobacterales; Paracoccaceae.